Molecule: long non-coding RNA, 224 nt
Filed under: Manacus vitellinus (golden-collared manakin)
Lineage: Eukaryota; Metazoa; Chordata; Aves; Passeriformes; Pipridae
Description: lncRNA (ENSMVIG00005005224.1)
Source: RNAcentral
UAAAAGUAUCAGUAGGUCUAACUCUGCUUUCAGCUAUAGCCAGGGAGGUGGGUGGACUAACACAGAGCUCACUGCUGAACUACUGAACUUGGGUGGAUCAGAAACAGAAUUGAAGCUAUUUUAUCUGGACCUAAUUAAACAACCUUCAUUACUGGCAGGUAUGUGUUUGUGAUGACUAGAAAUUAGCUUGAUUGGAAUUAAACCUCAAAAUAUAAGGCAUUGAA